Nothobranchius furzeri (turquoise killifish) is the source of this 2258-nucleotide non-coding RNA. The record is from RefSeq and is a predicted model, not a curated record. NCBI's taxonomy places the organism in Eukaryota, Metazoa, Chordata, Actinopteri, Cyprinodontiformes, Nothobranchiidae.
UUAGAUUUGUGCCAAUAGGAUCAAGAAAAACACUUUGGAGAGCAAACAAAUUUUAAGACAUUGAGAGAAAAAACCUUGGUUUCAAAAGAAAAACUUACGAUCUGAAUCAGAUUCUUAAAAUGAUCAAGAAAAACACUUUGACGGUCAAACAAAAAUUAAGAAAUUGACAGAACAAAAAUAUUGACUAAAGGAAAAAAACAUGUUUCAAAAGUAAAACUUACUAUCUGAAUCAACUUCUUAAAAUGAGUAACAAAGUAUGUUUCCUUUUUCUGUUUGCCUCUAUGUGUUUUUGUUAUCAAUUUCCUUAGUUUUGUUCUCUCUGCUCAGAGCUUUGCUCUCACUUCCAGAUUUGCACUUACACUGUCUGGCUUUCUCCUUUGCAAUCCCUGAGUUUUUGGUUGCAAUUCUGACACAACCCUUUCGGGUGGGCGGGACUUCUGAGAAGUCCUCUCCCAUAGGACAGUGGUUUCUCUUGAGUGACAGUUCAGUGACCUGGAAGUGAUGUAGCCUCCAAGACAUUUUUUUCCACCUGGUCAACAACAUGAAUUUUGAGCCCCAAACAGGUUAUUUCUGCUGUCUGUGGUGUCUACUGAGGAUCUAAAGAACCUGUGGAACAUCAGAGACUUUGCAGCUAUUAGAGCUAACCUGUGUACUGCUAACUUGCUACAGAGGAAGCAGCAGAAAGCUGAGCUAACAGGCUGUUUUGCAGGUAAUCCUCGGGUGUCAGCAGGAGGAGGUGACCACCUGCAUAACGGAGCACCCUGGUUCUGAGCCAGUUGCACCUUUGUGCAGCUCUUUGGGGAGACGAUGCUCAGCAGACACAUUUCUCCAUGUGGUCAGGUGGUGUUGGUGUGAUCUGGGAGGGCACACUCAUGUCGUCAUCUCUUUGUGCCGUCUCCAGGAUCCUGAUGGGAGUUCUCUGUGCCUAUAAAGCAGGAGUAUUUACUUCUGGGCCUGGAGGGCCGGUAUCCAGCACGUUUUAGUUUUAACUCUGUUUCAAUACACCUGAUUUCAGUCAGCAGAUAAUUAACAGGCUUCUGCAGAGCUGCUGCACAGGUAAUUCAACCACUGAUUCAAGUGUGUUGGAGCAGGGAAACAACUAAAACGUGCUGGAUACCAGCCAUCCAGGACUAGAAUUGAAUACCCCUGCUAUAAAGCCUUCCUCCCUCCUCCGGACUUUAAACAUUAGUAUUUUAUUAUGGUUUACCUGAUUUAGUAAAUAAAUCUCAAUUUAUAAAUUUCCUGUUUUGGUGCCUGUCCAUAAAAUCCUGCAUUAGACACCGAAAGCUGAAUGGAUGCCUUUCAUUCACUUUGACAUUCAAUGUAUUUUUAAAGAUACACUUGAAAUUAAUAUCAGCUGUUUAACAGAGUGGUGCAAAGUAAUUGCUGAUGUCAUGAUUUUUGCAACAACCUGACCUUCAUGCAGAGAAACUCAGGAGACAAAUGAGCUAAAAACAGUUUAUUAAAAUGUUUGACGGAUGACUGAAGAGGUAACAGCUGGAGAUCAGGAACCAGAAGCUUCUGCGAGGAAGAGCAGAGGUUAGUAAGAGGCAACAGGUCAGGGUUUUCUUAGACUGUGCAGGUAGCUUACAGAGUCUGAGAAACACCACAGAGAUGGAGCCACAGGUUUUAGUGUUUAAAGAUCAGAAGGCCCUGAGGUAAAAUUGAGUGUUAGUAAUGACUAAAGAAUGACUUACAAAAGGAAAAGUUUAGGUACUUACGGUCUAAAAUUGUAGCGCAGACGGGAGACAGCAGAAUGGUGGCGAAACAACCAGAAGUCUGGGAGAAUGACAGCAUGAGUAGCAAGCGGGUGAGCAGAAGGUAGUGGGUAAGCCGACUGCCAGUAUGGUUGUGUGAUCAGGAGCUUCAAGGAAAGAAUUCCCAUAGAUCUGCAUAGAACAUGAGAACGUAAGUUUGAAAAACGGCAGAGUCAUGGGCUAGAUAUGGGUUAAAACACUCUGAUGAGUGACCAGCUACCAGCUUUUAUUCAAGGAUGGGGUUACAGGUGUGUGAGGAUGUGCCUGCCCCAUGAGAAGAGUUUUCAGGUAAGCCUCUCCAUGGUGCUCUGCAAUGGUGACUAGCAAGGCUAAUGAAGAGAUUAAAGGGAACACAAACCCAGGACUCCGACCCAAACUCCUAACAGCAACACAACGACUCCUCCCACAGGCGGUUGUUCCACGGAGCACGCAGCUGCCCGAAGUUCAGCAUCAGGCAACCUGUAGGCGAUGUAAUCAUACGUGGCUUCUGAGCAUGCAAGU